CUCGGAGAGACUUCACGCUACGCAUCAGCCUCGCUCCGGCCCGCAGCGUCUGAUUGAAUCAAGCCAAUCAGCGGCGGGGAGGGGGACUUGUGAUUUUCGCGCACCAAUCCUGAAACUCUCUCAUGUCCAGCCAGCUCUACCCUCCUCUGUCAAACCAGGCUCUCUCAAGUCCAGGAAAGCAAGCCCAAUGCACAGAAUCACCAGAAAACCAGCACGCCCAUUCCUCUGCCCUGCUCCCUGUCAGAUAAUUCACUGCUGUCAUAAGUCCAAGCUACACUUCUGUUUGCAGUCCAGUCCAGUCCAGUCCAGCUCAGCCCUCCACUCUCAUGUGACACACAGUCCAGACCAGCUCAGUCCCCUCCCAUUGCUGUCAGCAUUAUCCUAGCAGAGAACCAACAGCUCUUACCAUUGCACAGAAGCACCAGAAGACCAGCAG
Long non-coding RNA from Lampris incognitus (smalleye Pacific opah), 436 nucleotides. RefSeq lists it as uncharacterized. The transcript is spliced from 5 exons. The record is from RefSeq and is a predicted model, not a curated record. NCBI's taxonomy places the organism in Eukaryota, Metazoa, Chordata, Actinopteri, Lampriformes, Lampridae.